UAGGGAAUAUUAGUAAUGGACGAAAGUCUGAUCUAGCAACACCGCGUGUGCGAAGAAGGCCUUCGGGUUGUAAAGCACUUUUUGGAAGGAUUAGGAAGGAAUGUACUUCCAGAAUAAGUCUCGGCUGACUACGUGCCAGCAGCCGCGGUAACACGUAGGAGGCAAACGUUAUCCGGAUUUACUGGGUGUAAAGCGCGUGUAGGUGGUUCUGUAAGUAGGGCGUGAAAGCUCCUGGCUCAACUGGGAGAGGCCGUUCUAAACUGCAGAGCUAGAGGAUGGUAGAGGGAGGUGGAAUUCCGGGUGUAGCGGUGGAAUGCGCAGAUAUCCGGAGGAACACCAGUGGCGAAAGCGGCCUCCUGGACCAUUCCUGACACUCAGACGCGAAAGCUAGGGUAGCAAACGG
RNAcentral lists this ribosomal RNA (403 nucleotides) under uncultured bacterium. RNAcentral's name for it is "bacterial SSU rRNA". It matches the Rfam family "Bacterial small subunit ribosomal RNA", at positions 355 to 775 of the family's 1533-position model. The record is from RNAcentral.